This 30-nucleotide ribosomal RNA is filed under the name Carpentaria acuminata. RNAcentral's name for it is "partial 5.8S ribosomal RNA". Lineage: Eukaryota; Viridiplantae; Streptophyta; Magnoliopsida; Arecales; Arecaceae. The record is from RNAcentral.
UCGAGGGCACGCCUGCUUGGGCGUCAUGCA